CUACGGGACGCUGCAGUGAGGAAUAUUGCACAAUGGGGGGAACCCUGAUGCAGCAACGCCGCGCGGAGGAUGACGCAUUUCGGUGUGUAAACUCCUUUUAUAUGUCAAGAAAAUGACGGUAGCAUAUGAAUAAGCACCGGCUAACUCCGUGCCAGCAGCCGCGGUAAUACGGAGGGUGCAAGCGUUACUCGGAAUCACUGGGCGUAAAGGAUGCGUAGGCGGGUUGGAAAGUCAGGUGUGAAAUCCUACAGCUUAACUGUAGAACUGCACUUGAAACUUCUAAUCUAGAGUAUGGGAGGGGGAGAUGGAAUUAGUGGUGUAGGAGUAAAAUCCGUAGAUAUCACUAGGAAUACCUAAAGCGAAGGCGAUCUCCUGGAACAUUACUGACGCUAAGGCGUGAAAGCGUGGGGAGCAAACAGGAUUAGAUACCCGAGUAGUC
RNAcentral lists this ribosomal RNA (439 nucleotides) under uncultured bacterium. RNAcentral describes it as "partial 16S ribosomal RNA". It matches the Rfam family "Bacterial small subunit ribosomal RNA", at positions 339 to 795 of the family's 1533-position model. The record is from RNAcentral.